Molecule: ribosomal RNA, 245 nt
Filed under: uncultured bacterium
Lineage: Bacteria
Description: partial small subunit ribosomal RNA
Rfam family: Bacterial small subunit ribosomal RNA
Source: RNAcentral
AGAAUCAACGCUGGCGGCGUGCCUAACACAUGCAAGUCGAACGAGAAAGUGGAGCAAUCCAUGAGUAAAGUGGCGCACGGGUGAGUAACACGUGACUAACCUACCCUCGAGUGGGGAAUAACCUCGGGAAACCGGGGCUAACACCGCAUAACAUCUACGGAUCAAAUGCGAAAGCAGCUUGAGGAGGGGGUCGCGGCCGAUUAGCUAGUUGGUGAGGUAAUGGCCCACCAAGGCAAUGAUCGGUA